This 85-nucleotide ribosomal RNA is filed under the name Tenacibaculum maritimum. Lineage: Bacteria; Pseudomonadati; Bacteroidota; Flavobacteriia; Flavobacteriales; Flavobacteriaceae. The record is from RNAcentral.
ACCUCUUACCAUUCCGAACAGAGAAGUUAAGCCCAUUAGCGCCGAUGGUACUGCCACAGGUGGGAGAGUAGGUCGUUGCCUUGCU